GACGAACGCUGGCGGCGUGCCUAAUACAUGCAAGUCGAGCGGACGAAUCGAAAGCUUGCUUUUGUUUCGUUAGCGGCGGACGGGUGAGUAACACGUGGGCAACCUGCCCUUUAGACGGGGAUAACACCGAGAAAUCGGUGCUAAUACCGGAUAACACGAAAUGUCGCAUGACGUUUCGUUGAAAGACGGCGCAAGCUGCCGCUACAGGAUGGGCCCGCGGCGCAUUAGCUAGUUGGUGAGGUAACGGCUCACCAAGGCGACGAUACGUAGCCGACCUGAGAGGGUGAUCGGCCACACUGGGACUGAGACACGGCCCAGACUCCUACGGGAGGCAGCAGUAGGGAAUCUUCCGCAAUGGACGAAAGUCUGACGGAGCAACGCCGCGUGAGCGAAGAAGGCCUUCGGGUCGUAAAGCUCUGUUGUUAGGGAAGAACAAGUAACGCAGUAACUGGCGUUACCGUGACGGUACCUAACGAGAAAGCCACGGCUAACUACGUG
RNAcentral lists this ribosomal RNA (498 nucleotides) under uncultured bacterium. RNAcentral's name for it is "partial 16S ribosomal RNA". It matches the Rfam family "Bacterial small subunit ribosomal RNA", at positions 28 to 507 of the family's 1533-position model. The record is from RNAcentral.